CGACCGGCGCACGGGUGAGCAAUACGUAUCCAACCUGCCUCAUACUCGGGGAUAGCCUUUCGAAAGAAAGAUUAAUAUCCGAUAGCAUAUAUUUCCCGCAUGGGUUUUAUAUUAAAGAAAUUCGGUAUGAGAUGGGGAUGCGUUCCAUUAGAUAGUAGGCGGGGUAACGGCCCACCUAGUCAACGAUGGAUAGGGGUUCUGAGAGGAAGGUCCCCCACAUUGGAACUGAGACACGGUCCAA
This 241-nucleotide ribosomal RNA is filed under the name uncultured bacterium. RNAcentral describes it as "partial 16S ribosomal RNA". It matches the Rfam family "Bacterial small subunit ribosomal RNA", at positions 92 to 334 of the family's 1533-position model. The record is from RNAcentral.